This 327-nucleotide ribosomal RNA is filed under the name uncultured eukaryote. RNAcentral's name for it is "partial 18S ribosomal RNA". It matches the Rfam family "Eukaryotic small subunit ribosomal RNA", at positions 1470 to 1796 of the family's 1831-position model. The record is from RNAcentral.
CCCUUAGAUGUUCUGGGCCGCACACGCGCUACACUGAAGGAGGCAGCGUGUACUCCUGGAUCGAAAGAUUUGGGUAACCCGCGAAUCUCCUUCGUGCUAGGGAUUGAGGUUUGCAAUUAUCCUUCAUGAACGAGGAAUUCCCAGUAAGUGCAAGUCAUAAGCUUGCGCUGACUACGUCCCUGCCCUCUGUACACACCGCCCGUCGCUACUACCGAUUGAAUGAUUUAGUGAGGACUUCGGACUGGGACCGAUGCGGCUUUCGGGCUGCGUCGGUAUUCUGGAAAGAUGUCCAAACUGUAUCAUUUAGAGGAAGUAAAAGUCGUANCA